AACGAACGCUGGCGGCAUGCCUAACACAUGCAAGUCGAACGAGACCUUCGGGUCUAGUGGCGCACGGGGGCGUAACGGGGGGGAAAAUGCCCUUAGGUUCGGAAGGACGCCCCGGAAGGGGUGCGAAUACCGGAGAAUGUCUUCGAACCAAAGAGUUAAUGCCUUUGGAUGGGCCUGCGUGGGAUUGGCUAGUGGGGAGGGUAAACGCCUCCCAAGGCGACGAUACAUAGAUGGUUUGAGAGGAUGCUCAGCCACACUGGUGCUGGGACACGGCCCAGAAUCUUGCGGGAGGCAGCAGUGGGGAAUAUAGCAAUAUGGGCGGAGGCCUGAACCAGCAAGGCCGCGUGAGUGAUGAAGGCUUUAGGGUUGUAAAGCUAGUUUACACGGGAUGAUAAUGACGUUACCGGGAGAAUAAGCUCCGGCUAACUCCGUG
RNAcentral lists this ribosomal RNA (433 nucleotides) under uncultured bacterium. RNAcentral's name for it is "partial 16S ribosomal RNA". It matches the Rfam family "Bacterial small subunit ribosomal RNA", at positions 29 to 507 of the family's 1533-position model. The record is from RNAcentral.